UGGAGCGUGACAGCAGCGGGCCCUCUUAAGCAGUCAGUGGGCCCCUACUUAUGAAAAAUUCUAGAUCCGCGAAUGGAUACUACCACAGAGGUAAAACCAUGCACAUUUGGGUUAUUGUACACGAAAUGCAUGCUACAAUUCAUUUUUGUUGAUUUUAGACCCUUUGGAACUCUAUGUGGGCUAUUUCAGCAACUAGGCAAAAAAUCCCCAAACUUGAUACAUGGUCAGAUUCAGCAUGUCAACGAAUUCCAAAUAUCUAUAUUAAAGGACUUUUGUCUAUAAAUUUGGACCCCACAAAAUUGAAAAAGGGACCAAAAAUAUGAAAAAAAUGCAUGCAUCGGAUACUUUUGUUAUUGAAGGCAUGACUGUAACAAUAGGAUGAAUAUACAAAAAUAUCUUUUUCUGGGGUCUCAUUGGGGGGUUCUGAU
RNAcentral lists this long non-coding RNA (428 nucleotides) under Mytilus galloprovincialis (Mediterranean mussel). The record is from RNAcentral. Lineage: Eukaryota; Metazoa; Mollusca; Bivalvia; Mytilida; Mytilidae.